CCUACGGGUGGCAGCAGUGAGGAAUAUUGGUCAAUGGGCGGAAGUCUGAACCAGCCAAGUAGCGUGAGGGAUGACUGCCCUAUGGGUUGUAAACUUCUUUUGUAUGGGGAUAAAACGUUCCACGUGUGGGGUUUUGUAUGUACCCUAUGAAUAAGGGUCGGCUAACUCCGUGCCAGCAGCCGCGGUAAUACGGAGGAUCCGAGCGUUAUCCGGAUUUAUUGGGUUUAAAGGGAGCGUAGGGGGAUUGUUAAGUCAGGUGUGAAAGUUUGCGGCUCAACCGUAAAACUGCAGUUGAAACUGGCAGGCUUGAGUACAGUACAGGUGGGCGGAAUUCGUGGUGUAGCGGUGAAAUGCUUAGAUAUCACGAAGAACUCCGAUUGCGAAGGCAGUUCACUGGACUGCAACUGACACUGAGGCUCGAAAGUGUGGGUAUCAAACAGGAUUAGAUACCCGGGUAGUC
Molecule: ribosomal RNA, 460 nt
Filed under: uncultured bacterium
Lineage: Bacteria
Description: partial 16S ribosomal RNA
Rfam family: Bacterial small subunit ribosomal RNA
Source: RNAcentral